UUGGACCGAAUAAAGCCCUUAAGGUCGAUCCCUCAGCAACUCCUUCUGGAAUAGGAGAGAACCUGUUGCUUCUCUUUCUUAAAAGAUAUGGCCCAUGAUGAGGUGGUGGAAACGUUGCUUGAACUAGAGUGCGCUAAAGCUUCGAUUAAGCUGUAAUGACUCCCUUGGUUCGGUUGUUUUGUGGUGUCUUCUUUAUGCUAUAUUGUUGUUGCUGAUUUUGUGGUGUUGGAGUAUUGAAAUUAUUGGUCUAAUGUUCUUAUUGAUCUGGUUUGCUUGGCUUGUAUCUCUUUUCUCUUAUAUGAAAAUGUCU
RNAcentral lists this long non-coding RNA (310 nucleotides) under Elaeis guineensis (African oil palm). RNAcentral's name for it is "long non-coding RNA (EGUI_LNC024420)". The record is from RNAcentral. Lineage: Eukaryota; Viridiplantae; Streptophyta; Magnoliopsida; Arecales; Arecaceae.